UACGGAGGGUGCAAGCGUUAAUCGGAAUUACUGGGCGUAAAGCGCACGCAGGUGGCUGAGUCAGUCGAUUGUGAAAGCCCUGGGCUUAACCUGGGAAUUGCAGUCGAUACUACUCAGCUAGAGUAUGGGAGAGGGUAGUGGAAUUCCCGGUGUAGCGGUGAAAUGCGUAGAUAUCGGGAGGAACAUCAGUGGCGAAAGCGGCUUCCUGGACCAGCACCGACGUUCAGGCACGAAAGCUAGGGUAGCAAACGGG
RNAcentral lists this ribosomal RNA (253 nucleotides) under uncultured bacterium. RNAcentral describes it as "partial 16S ribosomal RNA". It matches the Rfam family "Bacterial small subunit ribosomal RNA", at positions 524 to 776 of the family's 1533-position model. The record is from RNAcentral.